CCUACGGGAGGCAGCAGUGAGGAAUAUUGGUCAAUGGUCGUAAGCCUGAACCAGCCAAGCCGCGUGAGGGAGGAAGGUUCUAUGGAUCGUAAACCUCUUUUGUAAGGGAAUAAAGUGUGGGACGUGUCCUAGGUUGUAUGUACCUUAUGAAUAAGGAUCGGCUAACUCCGUGCCAGCAGCCGCGGUAAUACGGAGGAUCCGAGCGUUAUCCGGAUUUAUUGGGUUUAAAGGGUGCGUAGGCGGCCUUUUAAGUCAUCGGUGAAAGUCCGUGGGUCAACCAGGGACUCGCCGUUGAAACUGGGGGGCUUGAGUAGGAUUGAGGGAGGCGGAAUGCGCGGUGUAGCGGUGAAAUGCUUAGAUAUCACGCAGAACCCCGAUUGCGAAGGCAGCAUG
Molecule: ribosomal RNA, 393 nt
Filed under: uncultured bacterium
Lineage: Bacteria
Description: partial 16S ribosomal RNA
Rfam family: Bacterial small subunit ribosomal RNA
Source: RNAcentral